GUUGGUUUCACCCGAAGGCAGUGCUCUAACCCGCAAGGAGGCAGCCGGCCACGGUAAGGUCAGCGACUGGGGUGAAGUCGUAACAAGGUAGCCGUAGGUGAACCUGCAGAAGGAUCA
Molecule: ribosomal RNA, 117 nt
Filed under: uncultured eukaryote
Lineage: Eukaryota
Description: partial small subunit ribosomal RNA
Rfam family: Bacterial small subunit ribosomal RNA
Source: RNAcentral